GAAAAUGAUGGUUUAACUCCUUCCCUUACUA
Molecule: transfer RNA, 31 nt
Filed under: Nesotriccus murinus
Lineage: Eukaryota; Metazoa; Chordata; Aves; Passeriformes; Tyrannidae
Description: partial tRNA-Met
Source: RNAcentral